AGGCACGCCCAGUGACGGCCUCUUUCCCUUCCCACCGCCUCUGCCCUCGCCUCACCUUGACAUGCUGCUCUGCUUCCGUCUUCUUCUCCUCCAGAUACACUGUGCAGAUGAAGUCCCCGGCUUGCUGGAAGGAAACAAGAAAGGGGCUUUUACCAGCAGGUUCCUGUUUACAGAGGGGCACCGACACUGCUUCCAAAGGGUAACAGGAAGUGGCGUGAGCGAGCUGGGACCUAACAAGCUGCCCCCUUCUACCGCCUAGGAUUCUGGGAGCGAUAGAAAAGGGGGAUUUGCUCUUGGGAGGGCGAAUGGGCAGCCCCAGCACACACAGCGCCGUGAAACCAUGUGUGUCAGAACCGGAAGCAGCCUCUACAGCCAGACUGCUAAAGCAGAGAGCGACCCUCCCAGGUUAGCUGGUGGAGGAGACUAACUGUGUCUGCCUGGCCCCUUUGGAGUUCCUGAGAUCUUAGUUUCCCAGUGGCUCUCCGAAGAGAACCGAGCGAGCGUGUGCAGGUGAGACCUGCCCCUCCUCCACCAGCGGGCGGACGGGCUGGCUACCUGGGUUCCACUGGACGAGCCGGCUAUCCGCAUCUUGAUGAUGGCUGUGAUCUCGUCCUGCUGUUUCCUCAUCUCUUGUUCGUCCACCUGCCGAGAGGAGAGAAGGCCAGAGUGAUCGAACCCUCGGCAGCCCGGCAGCAGAAAGGCCAGAUGGACAGCUUCACGUGGGGCCCAGCUCUGGGAGGACACGAGCCUCCCCCAUCAGUCCCUGCCCCCCCUACCCGUCACUGAGCUGUGCUGGUCCGGAGUCACCAACCUGCCCAGCUCCACCGGCCAAGGAAAGGCACUCAACAGGGCUUCCCGUGCUUCUCCCCACUCGCUCCGAUGUCGAGUGCCUAGCCCAUGCCAUCACGGCUUCACUGCUAUUGUUAUUCAUGAUAGCUCAGGUACGUCCGUAUGUGCUGCAUUCACACCCACUGGCAGCAGUACAGCCGGACCCUCUGUGUCGUCAGGGUCUCUCCUUGAUCUGUGAGACGCAAUCCCACCCUCCACUUGCCUCCAAGCAAACUGGAUUUCUCCAGCAUGGCUCAGACACAGCCACCUUCCCCUCAUGGAUCCCCCAAAUCCAGCCAGUCCUCUCCAAAGUCACCCUUCUCCCAAUGGCCGGGCUUUCUCUGCAGAGGGUGCUUUAUAGGAUCUGGUGGCUAGUGCACUGCUGAGAAUCGUAUGCCCGGAGCCAGGUGCUGAGUGGCGGGUGGAAAGAGAGGCUGGAGAUCAGAAAGACGACAAAGGAAAAAACUUCCUCGUGGAGGAAGCUCCCAGGGUAAAACAAUGGGCGCGAAGGGCCAUAGUAACAGUAAUCAUGCCAAGCUCUUAACAUCCGUGGAUCUCAAAGCACUUCACAAAGGAGGUUAGUCUCAUCGGUAAGACGGGGAAACUGAGGCACAGGGAGGGGAAGUAGCUUGCCCAAGGUAGCAGAGCUGGCAGUAGAAGCCAGGUCUCCUGAUUUGCUGUCUCGUGUUCUGGCCACCAGACCACACUGCUCCACAGAAGAGCUUGAAUAGAUAGAGGCCAGGUUACAACGGACAACAAUGCGAACGCUCAUUCUGGCUGGGCGAAGAAGGCAACGUUUUCUAUAGGUGCCCGGGAGCCGAGUGUACGGGCUCUAGGCCUGGAAGCCUUCGGUCCGCUGAGGGAGACGCUUUGGGGAGUGGGGCUUCUGAACGCUACGUACGCUAAAUAUGACCACGUAGCGGCUGAUGAGAUCCUCCACCACGCGCCCCGCCUUGUAGUCCUUCCCAUCCGUCUGGAAGAGCGUCGGCCCGAAGACAAUCGCCAGGUUGUGUGUGUUCAUCUGGUUCAUCUCGGAGAAGUACUGGACCCUGAGGAAAGCCAGCACAUUAAGGACAGCUCCUCCCGGAGCUCCAGCUGCCUCCCCGCCCUGCCCCAAUGGCCCUCUCAGAUCUCGCCAUGCCAGUCGGGGUUUCCGUUUCUGGGGGGACCCUCCAUGGGUUGCUGUGUGUAGUGCUCUAGGCCCAGAUCCUACAAGGUACUGAUCUCCGUGGGAGCUAGGCACCUAAACACCUUAGAAGGUCUGGGCCCAGGCUCGGCUCUCUAGUGGUGGGGACCCUCUCGGCCAGACAUACCCUGCUCCGCCUCUGACCUAGGGCAAACCCCCAGCCGUUGGUGAAUGGCUCAGGGACGCUGGUGGGUCAAAGCGGCCAGCUGCUGCUCACAGGGGUUGGGGUUUGAAUUCUGCUCUGGCUCCUGGCAGGGCUGGUGGGCACCUGGGAACAGAACUACCAAGGAGCGGGAAAGGAGUUCCUCUCUCUCCAGCUGGUCUAAGGGAACAAGCUGUGCUUCCUGACAGAUCCAGGCAGAUGUAUGAUUUUAGUUUAUUAUCCAUGUAUUGUGUCAGGUUAUGAUUAAUCAACAUCUUAUAUCAUACAGAUUCAUUGUAUGUUAAUUAGAGUUCAUUUGUAGGAUUACAGAAGUACAAGAUUGAUCAGUAUUUAGAGGAACCAUGUACUAGACGUAAGUCAGAGAAGCUGAAACGCAGAAACCUGUAGGCUGAGACCUGCAAGAUUUUAGCUCAACUAUUUUAGGCCUUGGAGACAGGAAAUGCUGACAUGAGUCAAUGACCGAGAAAUAACCCGAAAGAUGAUGUGAAAAGAGGUACCAGCUGGUAAUAUUGUGAAAGUUUAGCAGGAAGAUUAAAUUUAAAUGAUAAAAUGCUGUAACAGCAAAUAUUGUCUCCACCAUGUGUCUUCACCACAAAAUAAAGGUGGUACGGCAAUGUUAAUGAGAAUCCGCCCAGCCUAUAGGGGUCCCUUGUGGUUCUAGGGGACACAGACCAGAUAGAAAAAGAGGAUUGACACUUCCAGGUACACGCGCAGAGUGUAGGUAUAGACAGAAUCACAGGAUAAAAGAGGGUGCCCAGAGCUUAAAAAUUGAGCUUCCCAUGGGAAACCUCCAGCAGGAACCAUACCCGUAUUGAUGAUCAGUCCCUCAGGGGCCAACAGACUCUAACCCCAUCUAGGAGGAUGUGAGCAUGUCUGUCGUUACUUAUCUUUAGGAAGUGUAAACGCUGUGACAUUUAGAACUCUGUUGGUAACUUUAAUAAUAAACGGCUAAAAGAGA
This is a long non-coding RNA of Chrysemys picta bellii (western painted turtle), 3135 nucleotides long. RefSeq lists it as uncharacterized. NCBI's taxonomy places the organism in Eukaryota, Metazoa, Chordata, Testudines, Emydidae. The record is from RefSeq and is a predicted model, not a curated record.